Molecule: ribosomal RNA, 515 nt
Filed under: uncultured bacterium
Lineage: Bacteria
Description: partial 16S ribosomal RNA
Rfam family: Bacterial small subunit ribosomal RNA
Source: RNAcentral
GAUGAACGCUGGCGGCGUGCCUAAUACAUGCAAGUCGAGCGAAUGGACUAAGAGCUUGCUCUUAUGAAGUUAGCGGCGGACGGGUGAGUAACACGUGGGUAACCUGCCCAUAAGACUGGGAUAACUCCGGGAAACCGGGGCUAAUACCGGAUAACAUUUUGAACCGCAUGGUUCGAAAUUGAAAGGCGGCUUCGGCUGUCACUUAUGGAUGGACCCGCGUCGCAUUAGCUAGUUGGUGAGGUAACGGCCCACCAAGGCAACGAUGCGUAGCCGACCUGAGAGGGUGAUCGGCCACACUGGGACUGAGACACGGCCCAGACUCCUACGGGAGGCAGCAGUAGGGAAUCUUCCGCAAUGGACGAAAGUCUGACGGAGCAACGCCGCGUGAGUGAUGAAGGCUUUCGGGUCGUAAAACUCUGUUGUUAGGGAAGAGCAAGUGCUAGUUGAAUAAGCUGGCACCUUGACGGUACCUAACCAGAAAGCCACGGCUAACUACGUGCCAGCCGCCGCGGUAA